UACGGAGGGUGCAAGCGUUAUCCGGAUUCACUGGGUUUAAAGGGUGCGUAGGUGGCCAACUAAGUCAGACGUGAAAUCCCUCGGCUUAACCGGGGAACUGCGUCUGAUACUGGAUGGCUUGAGGUUGGGAGAGGGAUGCGGAAUUCCAGGUGUAGCGGUGAAAUGCGUAGAUAUCUGGAGGAACACCGGUGGCGAAGGCGGCAUCCUGGACCAAUUCUGACGCUGAGGAGCGAAAGCCAGGGGAGCAAACGGG
RNAcentral lists this ribosomal RNA (253 nucleotides) under uncultured prokaryote. RNAcentral's name for it is "partial 16S ribosomal RNA". It matches the Rfam family "Bacterial small subunit ribosomal RNA", at positions 524 to 776 of the family's 1533-position model. The record is from RNAcentral.